Molecule: transfer RNA, 90 nt
Filed under: Actinoplanes philippinensis
Lineage: Bacteria; Bacillati; Actinomycetota; Actinomycetes; Micromonosporales; Micromonosporaceae
Description: tRNA-Gly
Source: RNAcentral
CGAAGUGCUGGCCGGGCGGGUGCCGAUGUCCCGGAUCGACGACGCCGUCACGCGGAUCCUGCGGGUCAAGUUCGAGCUCGGGCUCUUCGA